CCGUGAGUACUUCAACUUCUCUGAAUUUCUGAUUUUCUCCAAUUAAAGAACGGAGAUAAGAUUGAUCAGUGUGAAUUGCUAUUUUGCAAGUGUGAAAAUUUGUUGAUUUGUAGGUUCCAAAAAUAAAGAACAAGUCUGGUGAUUGAAAUGUUUGUGCACCCAUUCCUCAUUCCUUUUGCUUACAAAAGAAAUAUCAUGGAGUUAAACUGUAAGUUUCCAUGUUCCUUCAAUGUAACUAAAUUAUUAGAUGUUGCCACUUAUUAAGAAUAAUUUGUAGGUUCGUCGUCAUUAUUGUGAAUUUUCAUGUCUUAUAUUUGUAGCUUCUGCAGGUGUUAUGUCAAGGUAUCACCAUGGCGAGAUCCCCUUUGCUGCUAACCAGGAACUUGAGAAUUGUUUCGAUGCUGAAAACUAUAAGUGAGAGCACUCUGAAGUUUGAUGUGCACUUGACGCUGGAUCAUUGGACUUCCCCUGUUGAGUUCGAAUUUGAUUCUGCUAAUUCUGAUGUAGCGCCAGCAUGUAACAACAUCUAUGCUGAUGUUCGCAAAUUUCCUUCUUGGAUUAUCUUCUGUGUAAGUUCCUGCAAAUUGGUAUAGGUGCAGUGCACUGGCUCAUGGUCUUGCUGCCCAGGCGCAUCAGAUUUGGUAAUCUAUGGAUGGGGAAUGUCCCUCCAUUGUUGAAUUGGCUUGUAAUGACUAUGUAACUCUGAUUCCGUAUGACCAUUCAAAAAAAGAAAAAGGAAACUGAUCUGUGCCCACUUCUGUUGACGGAAUGUUUCUGUUGUAUGCUAAAAC
RNAcentral lists this long non-coding RNA (791 nucleotides) under Triticum aestivum (bread wheat). Its description in RNAcentral is "long non-coding RNA (TAES_LNC000600)". The record is from RNAcentral. Lineage: Eukaryota; Viridiplantae; Streptophyta; Magnoliopsida; Poales; Poaceae.